RNAcentral lists this ribosomal RNA (253 nucleotides) under uncultured bacterium. RNAcentral's name for it is "partial 16S ribosomal RNA". It matches the Rfam family "Bacterial small subunit ribosomal RNA", at positions 524 to 776 of the family's 1533-position model. The record is from RNAcentral.
UACGUAGGGGGCUAGCGUUGUCCGGAUUUAUUGGGCGUAAAGAGCGUGUAGGCGGCCAGGUAGGUCUGCUGUGAAAACUCGAGGCUCAACCUCGAGACGUCGGCGGAAACCAUCUGGCUAGAGUCCGGAAGAGGAGAGUGGAAUUCCUGGUGUAGCGGUGAAAUGCGCAGAUAUCAGGAAGAACACCCGUGGCGAAGGCGGCCCUCUGGACGGUGACUGACGCUGAGACGCGAAAGCGUGGGGAGCAAACAGG